Molecule: ribosomal RNA, 250 nt
Filed under: uncultured bacterium
Lineage: Bacteria
Description: partial 16S ribosomal RNA
Rfam family: Bacterial small subunit ribosomal RNA
Source: RNAcentral
GCAAGUCGAGCGGUAACAGGGGAGCUUGCUCCCGCUGACGAGCGGCGGACGGGUGAGUAACGCGUGGGAAUCUGUCCAUAGGUGGGGGAUAACUUGGGGAAACUCAAGCUAAUACCGCAUAUAACCUGAGGGUAAAAGGGUGCCUCUUCUUGAAAGCACUCGCCAAUGGAUGAGCCCGCGUCGGAUUAGCUAGUUGGUAGGGUAAAGGCCUACCAAGGCGACGAUCCGUAGCUGGUCUUAGAGGAUGAUC